UACAGAGGGGGCAAGCGUUGUUCGGAAUUACUGGGCGUAAAGGGCGCGUAGGCGGCCUGUUAAGUCGAACGUGAAAUCCCCGGGCUCAACCCGGGAACUGCGUCCGAUACUGGCAGGCUUGAAUUCGGGAGAGGGAUGUGGAAUUCCAGGUGUAGCGGUGAAAUGCGUAGAUAUCUGGAGGAACACCGGUGGCGAAGGCGGCAUCCUGGACCGAGAUCGACGCUGAGGCGCGAAAGCUAGGGGAGCAAACGGG
RNAcentral lists this ribosomal RNA (253 nucleotides) under uncultured bacterium. RNAcentral's name for it is "partial 16S ribosomal RNA". It matches the Rfam family "Bacterial small subunit ribosomal RNA", at positions 524 to 776 of the family's 1533-position model. The record is from RNAcentral.